GUACACAAAAAUGCACAUAUUGUGAGCUCGAUGAGUAGGGCGGGACACGUGGUAUCCUGUCUGAAUAUGGGGGGACCAUCCUCCAAGGCUAAAUACUCCUGACUGACCGAUAGUGAACCAGUACCGUGAGGGAAAGGCGAAAAGAACCCCGGCGAGGGGAGUGAAAAAGAACCUGAAACCGUGUACGUACAAGCAGUGGGAGCCUCUUUUAUGGGGUGACUGCGUACCUUUUGUAUAAUGGGUCAGCGACUUAUAUUCUGUAGCAAGGUUAACCGAAUAGGGGAGCCGAAGGGAAACCGAGUCUUAACUGGGCGUUAAGUUGCAGGGUAUAGACCCGAAACCCGGUGAUCUAGCCAUGGGCAGGUUGAAGGUUGGGUAACACUAACUGGAGGACCGAACCGACUAAUGUUGAAAAAUUAGCGGAUGACUUGUGGCUGGGGGUGAAAGGCCAAUCAAACCGGGAGAUAGCUGGUUCUCCCCGAAAGCUAUUUAGGUAGCGCCUCGUGAAUUCAUCUCCGGGGGUAGAGCACUGUUUCGGCAAGGGGGUCAUCCCGACUUACCAACCCGAUGCAAACUGCGAAUACCGGAGAAUGUUAUCACGGGAGACACACGGCGGGUGCUAACGUCCGUCGUGAAGAGGGAAACAACCCAGACCGCCAGCUAAGGUCCCAAAGUCAUGGUUAAGUGGGAAACGAUGUGGGAAGGCCCAGACAGCCAGGAUGUUGGCUUAGAAGCAGCCAUCAUUUAAAGAAAGCGUAAUAGCUCACUGGUCGAGUCGGCCUGCGCGGAAGAUGUAACGGGGCUAAACCAUGCACCGAAGCUGCGGCAGCGACGCUUAUGCGUUGUUGGGUAGGGGAGCGUUCUGUAAGCCUGUGAAGGUGUGCUGUGAGGCAUGCUGGAGGUAUCAGAAGUGCGAAUGCUGACAUAAGUAACGAUAAAGCGGGUGAAAAGCCCGCUCGCCGGAAGACCAAGGGUUCCUGUCCAACGUUAAUCGGGGCAGGGUGAGUCGACCCCUAAGGCGAGGCCGAAAGGCGUAGUCGAUGGGAAACAGGUUAAUAUUCCUGUACUUGGUGUUACUGCGAAGGGGGGACGGAGAAGGCUAUGUUGGCCGGGCGACGGUUGUCCCGGUUUAAGCGUGUAGGCUGGUUUUCCAGGCAAAUCCGGAAAAUCAAGGCUGAGGCGUGAUGACGAGGCACUACGGUGCUGAAGCAACAAAUGCCCUGCUUCCAGGAAAAGCCUCUAAGCAUCAGGUAACAUCAAAUCGUACCCCAAACCGACACAGGUGGUCAGGUAGAGAAUACCAAGGCGCUUGAGAGAACUCGGGUGAAGGAACUAGGCAAAAUGGUGCCGUAACUUCGGGAGAAGGCACGCUGAUAUGUAGGUGAAGUCCCUUGCGGAUGGAGCUGAAAUCAGUCGAAGAUACCAGCUGGCUGCAACUGUUUAUUAAAAACACAGCACUGUGCAAACACGAAAGUGGACGUAUACGGUGUGACGCCUGCCCGGUGCCGGAAGGUUAAUUGAUGGGGUCAGCGCAAGCGAAGCUCUUGAUCGAAGCCCCGGUAAACGGCGGCCGUAACUAUAACGGUCCUAAGGUAGCGAAAUUCCUUGUCGGGUAAGUUCCGACCUGCACGAAUGGCGUAAUGAUGGCCAGGCUGUCUCCACCCGAGACUCAGUGAAAUUGAACUCGCUGUGAAGAUGCAGUGUACCCGCGGCAAGACGGAAAGACCCCGUGAACCUUUACUAUAGCUUGACACUGAACAUUGAGCCUUGAUGUGUAGGAUAGGUGGGAGGCUUUGAAGUGUGGACGCCAGUCUGCAUGGAGCCGACCUUGAAAUACCACCCUUUAAUGUUUGAUGUUCUAACGUGGACCCGUGAUCCGGGUUGCGGACAGUGUCUGGUGGGUAGUUUGACUGGGGCGGUCUCCUCCUAAAGAGUAACGGAGGAGCACGAAGGUUGGCUAAUCCUGGUCGGACAUCAGGAGGUUAGUGCAAUGGCAUAAGCCAGCUUGACUGCGAGCGUGACGGCGCGAGCAGGUGCGAAAGCAGGUCAUAGUGAUCCGGUGGUUCUGAAUGGAAGGGCCAUCGCUCAACGGAUAAAAGGUACUCCGGGGAUAACAGGCUGAUACCGCCCAAGAGUUCAUAUCGACGGCGGUGUUUGGCACCUCGAUGUCGGCUCAUCACAUCCUGGGGCUGAAGUAGGUCCCAAGGGUAUGGCUGUUCGCCAUUUAAAGUGGUACGCGAGCUGGGUUUAGAACGUCGUGAGACAGUUCGGUCCCUAUCUGCCGUGGGCGCUGGAGAACUGAGGGGGGCUGCUCCUAGUACGAGAGGACCGGAGUGGACGCAUCACUGGUGUUCGGGUUGUCAUGCCAAUGGCACUGCCCGGUAGCUAAAUGCGGAAGAGAUAAGUGCUGAAAGCAUCUAAGCACGAAACUUGCC
Molecule: ribosomal RNA, 2435 nt
Filed under: Escherichia coli
Lineage: Bacteria; Pseudomonadati; Pseudomonadota; Gammaproteobacteria; Enterobacterales; Enterobacteriaceae
Description: partial 23S ribosomal RNA
Rfam family: Bacterial large subunit ribosomal RNA
Source: RNAcentral